AAUCCAAAAGAGAAUUUGGUGUGCUACAGUCAGGGUACUUAAGGACACUACACUAAUGAAUUAUAAUCAAUGCACAUAAUAACAACAAAAAAAGAAAGUUUGAGAUAAGAGAAUAGAAGAGCAUAAAAACAGGUUCAGAGGGGAAUGUAACCAACUGUAAUGAUCCUAUUUAAGAAAAAAAGUAUAUAUGAUUCCCCCCAUUUAUCCUUGUAAAAUUCUGCUGUAAUGUAUGGAAGCUUCUUUACCUUCAGAGAGAGCAGAACUGAGGGCAGCUUUGAACAGAAAACUGAGUCUAAAGCAGAAAAUGGAAAAGAUGCUGGAAACACUAACUGCUCCAGAUCUCUCAGUCAUUAGGACCUGACAACUGGGACAGAUCUUGCCAUUAUAGUCCACAUCAUUUCGGCUCUCAUUACAAUAUUUAGUCAAAACUUGUGACUUCUUGCAAGUCUUGCCGGAGAUGCUCUAACCGUGUAUCCUGCUGCUGAUCCUCCGGAUCAGACUUGAAAUCACAUGUUCUUCAUCUUAAAAACUCCUCUCAUGUUAAGCUGCGGUCACAUGGAUUCAGGCAGAUGGUAGGUGGCCAUGCCUGUCACCGUUGGGCUUUGAAAAUAAGGGGAGAUUUUCCCUGACCCCACACAGCAAAUUCACUGGAGUCAAAAUUCUAGUGUUGAGGCACUGGUGCUGGUUCUGUGGAAUCAACUCUGUACCUGGUGAGAGAACCUAAUGUUGUUGGUGUAAGAUCACAGAUUUACUGUAUUCAACACCUAUGAAUGUAACUGUUAUGGAACACAGAUUGGACCAAAACAUCUAGUUUGGUGUCUGUAAUAUUAUGUCAAGUUUGUACGUCUUAAGAUGACAGAAAUUAACCAGUCCAUUUCGAACAUCUUAAGGCGUCUUAAGGCUUCCAUGCUAUUGGUUGGUGUCAACAUAUCCACCCCUUUUUGAAGGAGCUACAUUGGGCUGUAGGUAUACCUACGUUGUGGGCUCUUGCUAGUGGGUACAUUUGUGCUACAUACCUAUUACAUGACUUAUAGAACUGGGACUCCAUUUGUGCGGGGUGGAUCAAUUUGUGUAGGUACUUUUGAACUUGGUGGCUGAGGAGAGCAAAGAAUGGCCUCAAGAAACUUUUUGAAUGGCUGUGGUCGUACAUUUGCAGAAUAUACCUAGCUUUUAUCAUCAGAUGACCAACAACUGUGCUCUGCUCGACUCUCCCCUCUCUUACCUUCACUCCACUCUGUUUCCGUUCCCUGCUCCCAAGAGGAAAAAACUUGUUCCAAAUUUGCUCCUUUUUUCUGCAAAUCAGCCAAAAAAACUGUAGUGUUUUGACUCAAAUUAUUUUAAUAAUCUGGGCAACCCAUGCUAUUUAUUCAUCACAACAGGAAAAGAUGAUAGCCUAAACCAAUACGAUUGUUACUAAUAUACAACAAAGGGAUUAUUAUCCAUAGUUUAUGGAAAGUCUCUAUUUUAGAUUUAAAUAACAAGGAAUGCAACAAAAAUACUCAAAUGUGUGUAUAAUGCACACAUUGUCUACAGAAAAAAACUAUGCGUUAUAGUCUGAUUAUAGGGACAAUUACUGAAGGAAAACAGAAAAAUAUUAGGCUGACUAGGUUAUGAAUUUAGGACAUGUGAAAAGAAGGAAUCACAGCGACAGUGAAACUUUGUCCAAUAAUAGUUAAGAGUUAGUUAUUAAUUUUAUUGUUAGUUAUUAAUUUUAAUUAAUAAAAUCACAACAGGCGGUCAAAGUGGGGAUUUGAACAUUUAAUAUCAAAUACCAAGGAAUAUGCCAAAUAUAUGUAAUCAUCUGGGCAGGGGUGCUGCUUAGGUAAUGCAACAUCGUGAGUGCCACAGAGCAAAUUUAGCAAGCUUGAGUGGGACAUCUUUUCAAGUUCAAGUAUCUGUUCUUAAAUAUGUCAAUGGUUCAAGUGCUCUCCUCGCCCAGGUUAAAUUAAUGGUGCUCUGCUCCCUUCUCCACUCCAACUCCGCUCUGCUCCCAUGCUCUGAUAGCCACUGUACUCUAUAUCCUCUACAGGUUCUCAUUCUUAUCCAGAAGGUGAACAACAAACCAUAUGUGUGUUUUCAUCCAGUCUCAAUUAUAUAAGAAUUUCUUUCUAUACACAAGUGUGGUGUAUUAAACAGGAAAACUGUGAUUUCUAAUCAACAGUCUGUUCAUGAAAGGACAAAAGUUAAAUUUGAUUUUUUUUUAACAUAAUAGUCACAAUGUAAAAUAUAAUUCACAUCACCAUUACAUUAAAAAAUAGUGGCUGCACUAAAAAUGUCACCAGUCUACAUCGAAAUCAAUGGCUUGAAGAGCACCAGAUUCUUUCUUUUUCUUCCAGUCUACUCAAAAUUCAACAGGUUGCCAGUUGUGCUCUAAUACUCUAGUGGGCACUUAAUCGAACACACCACAUUAAAUGAAUAUGUCAAGUAUGAAUUGUAUACAAGCUACAUUUUUCUCAAAAAGUAUCCAGUAGUCUAAAAAAAAAGAAGAUGUUAAUAAUGUCACUAAAUAUCAAUGUUAUUUCGUAAGUCCAUUUCAGUCAAUAUCUUUCAUACAAGGAAGGUUGAGUGGUGUAAUUGUUUUCUCUCUUGCAAUGAUUGAAGGGUUUCCCCUCAGAAACUGAUUAAGUGGUAGCACCCAAUUUUAAACGCCUUAAAACUUUCAAAAUGGAUGUCAUCACUUUAAUAUGUGUUUUGGCAGGUUACAGAAGACAAAGUCACAGAGUUAUUGCUCAAGGAGGAGGUUUGUGAAGGCCAAGGAGCAAAAAUCUGACUUCAAAGAGGUGAAGGACAACAUUUAAAAAAGCCAGGAUAAAGUCUGAAGAGGAAAGGAGGAGACAGGCCAAGAGGACAAUUUGGUGAAAUCAGGUGGGAGAUCUUGUCCUACAAAAGAACAUCAGACAAGAGCAGAGAAAAGGGGGGUGGGGAUGGAGACAACAUGCCGGGACCCCUCAAAAUUAUAUCUCUUGAUGGCAAGAGUGCUGACUUGGUGUCUGAAAGGGGGAAAAACACAGUCAAAAUAAACAUUGAUCACCAGCCAGGGGAGAGGAUCCCUGCCAAACUGAGAAAAAUGUUGGAUCCCUCUCCUCUGGCUGGUCCAUCAGAGACAAUCCCACUACAUAUACAAACCUCAACACAACACAUACAGACUUCACAGACGUGCACCUCAUUACACCUGACACCUUGAACAUCUUCCCAGUCUCCGGACCCCUGUGACGAUGCAGAAACCUGUGAGUAAACUGACAUACAUUACACCUAAAAUGAUGCAUUUCAUCAUAUGACUGACAUUGACAUUGUUUACAGUAAUCAGAAACAUAUGGCUGGGAGAAAACCAAUGGCACUGUGGUCAAGGAUUGGACCAUAUAAAAUAUAUUCAGAGAAUAUUAUGGAUUCGGCCCAGAGGAAAGAGUUGGAGAAUGAGGCAUAUGUUUCUAAAAUACUUCUUCUGAUGUUUAUCUUUAGGAUUGUUAGGAAAAAAUGGAUCACAAGUCACUCUUGCACUUAUAGAUUGUGAAUGCAUACUUAAUGGCUGUGGGAAGGAAAGUGGGUGCGCUCAUUUUGGACUCCUACUUGAUGAUGUCAGUCUGGCAGGAAUCUGAAAAAGGCCUAAGGUGGGUAGGAUUUCAGCUGUUACACAAUCAGAUAAAAUCCCCUUCAGAUGUGUAUGUGUGUUAAUUUCUGUGUUUUGUUUCCAUACAACAUCCAUACAGACAUAAUACACAAUAAAGAACAGAAUAAAUAGAAAAUAGAACAAUUGCACAAAGGCUAGUCUGAACAAAUGGGUCUUGAGCUGAUUUCUAUAGGUGUCCACAGUGUCCACAGAUCUUAAAUCCACUGGGAGAGUUCCAAAGUUUAGGAGCCACAACCUCAAAAGCUCAGUCUAGGCUCGUUCUAGGAACAACCAGCAAACCCUGAUUAGAAGACCUUAGGUACUUGCUGGUGACGUAGGGCUGCAGCAGAUCUGUAGGCAGGUGCCUGACCAUGCAGAGUGGUGAUCUCCAUGGUGAUCACAAGAACUUUGAAUUGGAUUCUGAAUUUGAUGGGGAGCCAGUGAAGAGCAAUCAGAAUCGGUAUCACUUGAGACCUUUUGGAGGACCUGGAGUUUAGCAGCAGCAUUUUGGACCAUUUAUAAACGAUCCAGGGAUGUUUUGCUGAGACAGGUGAAAAGGGGGUUACAACAGUCAAGACCUGACAAUAUAAAGGCAUGAAUUAUGCUUGAGACACAAUGGGCCUGAGCUUUCCAAUGUUUCUCAGCUGGAAAAAACAAGAGUGAAUCAGACACUUGACAUGUUGGUCCAAAGUCAGAGCCUGGUCUAUAGUGACACCUAGAUUUCUUAUGGAUGAUUUAAUCGACGAGGUAAGAGACCCAAGACCAUCCCUUAUCUGAAAGAUAACACUAGAAGGAGCAGAAAUAAGGCUUUCAGUUUUUUCUGCAUUUAGCUGUAAGAAAUUAUCUGCCAUCCAGUCUUUUAGAGCAUUUAUCCAAUUAUCUAAAACUGACAAUUUGGCUAUGUUUUGAGGUUUAAAUGAGACAUAUAAUUGAAUAUCAUCUACGUAGCAGUGAUAGGACAUACCUUUAAAGUGCCUUAUUAUCUGUCCAAGGGGAAGCAUAUACAAGGCAAAUAGAAUAGGACCAAGGACUGAACCUUAGGGCACACCACAAAACAGAGUGUCAGAAUAGGAGGCGAAGUUGCCUGGAUCAGAGGACAGGAUUUUGCUAAACUUUUCCCUUUCUGUAAUGGUUGGAGCCCAGUAUCUCUUCAGGCUGCCAUCACAUCUGUGCCCAGUCACAGACAUUAUCUGUAACAUUUUUUUGCCAUAGGGUUUUGCGCAUGAGCUGUACUUGGUCAUUUUUAAAGGCCUUAUUUCUGCAGAUUGAUAUGAUUAGAUGUAGUUCUCCAGAGUCUAUGAACAGGACUGUGUCCUUAGCAACAGUCUGUUAUUCAUAGCAGCGGUCUGCAGAAAUAACAGACUGUAGAAUGGCGUAAUUGACCAAUCAGAAUCGAAUACUCAACAAAGCUGUGUAAUAAGAUAUAAUUUGAAACUUAUCGAAGAUAUUUCACUCAUCUAUUGCAGUUGUGAGCUGCUUAGCAACCACUUUUUCUAAUAGUUUGGCUACAAAGGGUAACUUGGAGAUGGGCCUGUAAUUUUGGGGUAGAGAUGGAUCAAAGUUUGAUUUUUUGAGUGGUUGAAUAAGAAUGUUUGAAUUGAGCAGGUUAUGGAGAGCACAGAAGGAUCCUGGAAUCCUUUACCACAUUAUAGAAAGACAUGAAAAGUUAUUUUAAAUAAAGAUAGUGGACAUUUAGUUGGAUGGAUUUUCAUAGGCAUUCCACUCUCCUACAGUCUCUCUUAAGGGGGCGAAUGCUGUCAUUUAUCCAAGGGGAAGACUUGAUCAAAGGAGCUGAUCUAGUUUUAAUAGGGGCCACUUUAUCUAAUGCUGAAAGGCAUUGUUCAUUAAAAGACUGCACCAAGUAGUCAACAUCACAGUGCAUAUCAGAAUUAAAAUGAAAAGUGGCAGAAAACUUUGUAGCAGAAAGGUGGUUAAGGAUGCGAAAGCUAAUGGUAUGGCAGCAAGGUAAAGAAUCCAGAUUGAAAGGAAUACAGAUUAAAAGGAAUCCAGGUUAAAAGAUAAAUCAAACAAAAUACAGUUGUGGUCAGUAAUAAAAAGAUCCUCGAAAAAUAAAGAAUCAAUAUUCAAACCGAGAGUAAAAACAAGGUCCAGAGUAUGUCCUCUUUUGUGUGUAGGACUUUAUACAUGCUGAGUGAGAUUAAAAGACUGCAAUGAUAAAUGUGGAUAAUUUAAGGAUAGAGGACAAAAAGUCAGUGAAUUCAGUUGAAAAUGAUCUGUUUGGGCCAGAUGGAUGGCAGAUUAAAAUACAGUAAAAAGGAUUAGUACAAGAGUAUUGGCUGUAAUGUUUAAUUUCAUAUUUUAUCAUUAUGUAUCUGAAGGAGAGGAGAGCCUUGUUCUUGGACCCAUUUGGAGCCACCCAAGAACAAACAAAUUGGUGCAAGGAUGUAACAAGGCUCACACAUGGAUUGGUGAGAAGUUUGCCAAACAGUGAUUCUGUGGUCCUUAUGUGAAGAGCACCGGUCUGCAAACAGUGUCCAGCAGUGGCAAGAUGGGCGUGCUCCACAAUGAGCCAUCCCCAUCAGCAGGACACAACAUCAUGCAGCGUCUUUGUGUGCAAGGUUACUAACUGAUUAUCUCUCUGUCAAUCUGGCAUUGUGACAUUAUAAUUAUACUUAUCACACACCCAUGAUGUCAUAGCUCGCAGAGCAAAUCCUGAUGUGGAAGACUGUCCAGUUCCCUGUGCACCAGGAAGGGAUAGCCAGGUUGAGGCUGAACAUGACAGCAUCUUUGUUAAAAGACUCACUUAUACUAUACAAGGUAAACAAAAUCUAUCUAUAAUCAAAAUGUCUGCAGACUUUGUUACAUGCCUGUAUUUUACCUGUACAGAUGACCUAUCCCAGCUGUGUCGGGCCUGUGGGGAGGACAGCUCAGGGACUGACAUUGAUGAAUGGGUAAGAAUAUUAAUUUAACUUCAGACCAACUUUUGACCAAAAGACUGGGAAGAACCUUGGAUGCAUGUUUUUACACUUUUGGAGGACACUGGAGCACCUGAAGGAAAUUUAAGGAGAACAUGCUGACUCCAAAGACCCACAACUAGUAUUUAAACUCAGAAUCAGACACACUGGCAUACAGGUUUAAAAAAUAAUAUGGUAUUCUCCAUAGUUUACGUUUUCUUCAUUUCCCUUUCAGAUUCACUGCACCACACACAAACUGUGGUAUCACCUCUCCUGUGUUAGAAAUCCCUCCACAGAGACAGACUAUUUAUGCUCUGCAUGAAGAAAAAAAAACAUAUACAUAUAUUACUGAUCAUUAUUGUUGUCCUUCCUUAUAACGUGUCACAUUAUUGUUUAAGCCCAGUUGCUAUUAUAACAAGACACAAAGCUUGCAUUUUAACUUAUUUGUCUUUAAACAAGAGCUGCCAUUUUGCCUAUUCUGUUUUGUUGAACUAUUUGAUUUUGGUGGGUUUUAAUAAUGCAAGUAUAGCUACAAUAUGCUCUAAAUCUAUCUUGCAUUAUGCUGUAUGUCAGUCUAUAAUCCACAAUGCAUGCUAGUUUGCUGAAAUCUGGAACACAAGUAUAAACACCACAAGCAUUGUUCUUAAGGAUUUUAGAAGCAUUAAGGUUUUAUUAUUGUACAGUGUUUCUUAAUGAUGUCACAACAAGAUGAACGGAUUGUCAUCUCCUCUUGCCUUAGUGACAUGCAGUCAUCACAUGUAAAAAAUUGUAACAAUCAAAGCUCCAGCGGUCAAAUCCUGCAUGAGUUUUCUUUGUUUUAAUCCAUAAGACCAGACCACUAUUUUCAUAAUGAGGACCGACACUAAUUUCCGGCAGACUGUUCUGUUUAAAAGAUGAAGUAAUGAGGUUGUUCAUUUCCUGGUUAGUCGACAAAGGGUCCUAACAAGCCACGCCCAUUACAAUGUUUCAAACGUAGCAGAAUUGAAAACAUCUUAACUGUUCUGAUGUCAUAGUGAAAGAUCUAUCCUUAUGAAUAAAAAAUAAUACAAGUUGAAGUUUAUGACAUGAUUUAAAGAAGCACUGCUGUGGCUCUGCCUUGAAACUCUUGAGUUGUGUUUCCCAAAUCACCUCAUAUAAUUUAAUGGAUUAUAACAAUUAGUAGUAUUAUGUAUUAACUUAAUGUUAGCUCACGCUUGUUAUGGUGUUUUAGAUAUGUGGCCCAGCAGAUGUAACGUGAAUUUAUAGCCUUCAAUUGCAUCUCUUUUAAAUAUUGUAAUCAAUUUGACGUAUCUCAAGAAUGAAUACUGUACUGUCAUGUCAUCAUAGUAGACAGGAAUUUGCUUCUUUGCAUCUCUUGACGUAGCUAUCAACAAGAUCAGGAGGGUCACCAUUCAGAAAAUCAUCCUUCAGUUAAGUUGGGCAAAAUUUUUACCCUUUUAAGAUGCUAUAAUGUAAAUAUAACGAUGUAACAAAUGCCCCUAUUAUAUUUGACUAGUAUUCAGUAAAGCUUUAGAAUUUAGGCCAUAACAGCCAAGAUGGCAUAAUGAGGCCAUUCUGUGUUUUUCAGUGCAUUUGUUUGGUAGGACACAAAGAUAUCGCAAUCAUCACAAGAGGUGUGAAGAGCUUAUAUGAAGUUCCAGACCUCUCAGACAGAAAGAGAGCAUCUGCAUACCCGCCAGCCUCAUUUCCAACAAGUAUUUGGGCCAUCAGAGAGCAUUUGAGUGUAGUGAAAGUUUUUAAUUGUCUUUUAGGCUGUUAGAGGACAAUAUUGAUUCAUAAUUAAAACAGCAUUGAAAGGAUGUCUUAAGAAAUUUCAUGUUGUCCCCCUCUUUCUCUACAGUCUGAUGUUGUAGAUGGCAAAAUGGUCAUGCAGGUACAGUAUCAAAACCGCCAGAAAUACAUCAAAUUACAAUCAACUGAUUUUGAAGAAUUAAUUUCUGAAGGUAAACUUCCCAAUUGGUGUGACUAACCAGUAAUUCAAACAGAGUUUAAGUGAUGAUAUUGUAUAAUUUAAACGAUUUGUCAUGCCAUUUUGACUCUUAACCUCAUCACAUAGUGAGAGAGAAGUUCUCCAUCCCUGUGGACAAAAUCACUGCGGAAGAUGAUUGUGGCACUGAGGCAGAAUUAUCCACUCUCAAAGGGAUUUGUCAUCAAGGACAGUCAUGAUGACAAUGGUAAAUUUAAAAAAUAGCUUGGUUUUAUAUUACAUUAACAGAAGUGGUCAUUGGAGAUGCAACCAUUGCAUUGAUUUAAUUAUCUUAAAUCUAGUUUUAAUAUUAGCAUAUGGAAUAUUAAGACAAUUGUUAGAAAAGGUUUAACUUGAAGUACUGGGUUUAAUUGAUAAAGGAUUGCUUUUCUCUAUUGAUUCCUAAUUGUUCAGUCAGGAAAUAUAUAAGCAGAGUUUCUUGCAUGGCUAAAAGCAGGUGUCAUGUCUACUGCUGAAUUCAAGAUUUUAUAACUGCAAAUGAGGUCAAUUGUUCAUAUCUUUUGUUUUGAGAUUUAGGCGCAUUUCGGUCAUAACCACCAUCCACACCACUAUCUUCAUCAGGUGGGAGUUUCCACUCUGUGUCCAUCAGUAACAGUGACAGUGAGAUCUCAAGACCAUCCAAGCGAAUGAGAAGUGAUGAAGAGGUACUGCAGAGUUCUUCAGCCAGAGAGGUAAGUUUAUCAUCAGGUGUCUCCAUAUAGAGACAGUAUAAAUGCUAUCUAAAUUGUUAUUAUUAUCACCCUUUUGAUUUAUUUUAUGUGUAGCCCACCUAUCCCUAGUCUAAACAGGGAAGGGCCCUGAGUUCUUUAAAUCAACUGACUUAAUGUACAAUAAAUAAUACUUAGGCUAGAUGUUAAUCUGUUUCUCUUUUGUUUAUAUAUAUUAUUAGUAUUUGUCUUGGGUUCCUUUAUUCACUGCUAUGAACUGUAUUACACUUAUCAGGCUCACUUUUAUUUAACUCUUGCAUUAAAUCUAUGCACUGUAAUCUACCUGAUGAAUUAGACUAUUGCAAUGAAAUAGGUGAAUCACUCCUUUAAACAAAACUGUCACUGUUAAAUACCUCUAGUGAAAGAAAUAGGCUAACCAAGCAUCACACUGGAAGUUGUUUUAGAAAUAAUGAACUUCUCUUCUUUUUACUUUUGCAAAUUUCCCAUAUAAACAGUGAAAUAAUAUUUAGUCUCUUUCAAUAACUUGAGAUAUGGCAAUAUCUCUCUUCAAAUGUAAACAAUACACUCAAAGUGAAAUUUCGAUUACCUCUGGGCUAAAUUCAUAUCAAAAUUUACGGGCCCACAUUCACCAAGCACACACACCACACACAAGCCGGCAGGUAUUAAAAUAAAAUAAAAUAAA
This is a long non-coding RNA of Thunnus maccoyii (southern bluefin tuna), 9859 nucleotides long. RefSeq lists it as uncharacterized. Lineage: Eukaryota; Metazoa; Chordata; Actinopteri; Scombriformes; Scombridae. The record is from RefSeq and is a predicted model, not a curated record. The transcript has 2 exons.